UUGACCUCAAAUCAGGUAGGACUACCCGCUGAACUUAAGCAUAUCAAUAAGCGGAGGAAAAGAAACCAACAGGGAUUGCCUCAGUAGCGGCGAGUGAAGCGGCAAAAGCUCAAAUUUGAAAUCUGGCGUCUUUGGCGUCCGAGUUGUAAUUUG
Molecule: ribosomal RNA, 153 nt
Filed under: Candida albicans
Lineage: Eukaryota; Fungi; Ascomycota; Pichiomycetes; Serinales; Debaryomycetaceae
Description: partial 28S ribosomal RNA
Rfam family: Eukaryotic large subunit ribosomal RNA
Source: RNAcentral